UCAAGCGACUAAGGGCUUCUAGUGGAUGCCUAGGCGUUGAGAGGCGAUGAAGGACGUGGCACGCUGCGAUAAGAUGCGGGGAGGCGCGAGCACCCUUUGAUCCGCAUAUUUCCGAAUGGGGAAACCCACCUUUACGGUCUGCGAAUUUUGCUUCCGGGUCACCCCGGAGGCACGGUUCGUAGGUCGUAUUUAAGGUAUAAUGACCUGAAUACAUAGGGUUCAUUAAGCAAACCCAGGGAACUGAAACAUCUCAGUACCUGGAGGAAAGGACAUCAAAAGAGACUCCCGUAGUAGUGGCGAGCGAACCGGGACCAGGCCAGUGCUGUCGUGACAUAAAGCUGAACGAUCUGGAAAGGUCGACCAUAGUGGGUGAAAGUCCCGUAGGCGUCAAAUAGCGACAGACUCGAGUAGGGCGGGACACGUGAAAUCCUGUCUGAACAUGGGGGGACCACCCUCCAAGCCUAAGUACUCCUCAACGACCGAUAGUGAACAAGUACCGUGAGGGAAAGGUGAAAAGCACCCCGACUAGGGGAGUGAAAUAGUUCCUGAAACCGGAAGCCUACAAGCAGUCGGAGCCCCCGCGCGGGGUGACGGCGUACCUUUUGUAUAAUGGGUCAGCGACUUCAUGUGUCGAGCAAGCUUAAGCCGUUAGGUGUAGGCGCAGCGAAAGCGAGUCUGAAUAGGGCGACUAAGUUCGACGUAUGACGACCCGAAACCAGGUGAUCUAGCCAUGAGCAGGUUGAAGGCUGGGUAACACCAGCUGGAGGACCGAACCCGUGAAUGUUGAAAAAUUCUGGGAUGACUUGUGGAUAGGGGUGAAAGGCCAAUCAAACCUGGACAUAGCUGGUUCUCCGCGAAAACUAUUUAGGUAGUGCGUCAGACGAAUUCUUCGGGGGGUAGAGCACUGGAUGGAUGCGGGCGACGCGAGUUGUACCAAUUCUAACCAAACUCCGAAUACCCGAAAGAACUAUCUGGCAGACACACGGCGGGUGCUAACGUCCGUCGUGAAAAGGGAAACAACCCUAACCAUCAUCUAAGGCCCCCAAGUAACGGCUAAGUGGGAAACGAUGUGGGAUUGCUUUGACAACCAGGAUGUUGGCUUAGAAGCAGCCAUCAUUUAAAGAAAGCGUAACAGCUCACUGGUCAAGCGAUCCUGCGCGGAAAAUGUAACGGGGCUCAAGCCAUGCGCCGAAGGUAUGGGUGUGCGCCAAGAUUCGUCUUGGAGCACGCGGUAGCGGAGCGUUCCGUAGGCCGGUGAAGGUCAGCUGUGAGGCUGGCUGGAGGUAUCGGAAGUGAGAAUGCUGACAUGAGUAGCGACAAAGAGGGUGAGAAACCCUCUCGCCGAAAGUCCAAGGGUUCCUGCGUAAAGCUAAUCUGCGCAGGGUUAGCCGGCCCCUAAGGUGAGGCCGAAAGGCGUAAUCGAUGGGAACCAGGUAAAUAUUCCUGGGCCAGUGUGAAGUGACGAAUGCUGUAACUUGUCUGGGCUUAUUGGAUUGCUCCGGGCAGGGAAGGUGUUCCAGGAAAUAACUCACACGGAGACCGUACCCGAAACCGACACAGGUGGACUGGUAGAGUAUACCAAGGCGCUUGAGAGAACUAUGCUGAAGGAACUCGGCAAAUUGCACGCGUAACUUCGGGAUAAGCGUGACUCUGCUUAGGGCAACCUUUGUAGAGUGGCACAGGCCAGGGGGUAGCGACUGUUUAUCAAAAACACAGGGCUCUGCGAAGCCGUAAGGCGACGUAUAGGGUCUGACGCCUGCCCGGUGCCGGAAGGUUAAAAGGAGCGGUGAGAGCUGCGAAUUGAAGCCCCGGUAAACGGCGGCCGUAACUAUAACGGUCCUAAGGUAGCGAAAUUCCUUGUCGGGUAAGUUCCGACCUGCACGAAUGGCGUAACGACUUCCCCACUGUCUCCAGCAUAGGCUCAGCGAAAUUGAACUCCCCGUGAAGAUGCGGGGUUCCCGCGGUCAGACGGAAAGACCCUAUGAACCUUUACUGCAGCUUCGCCUUGGCGUUAGCAUCAAUAUGUGUAGGAUAGGUGGGAGGCUAUGAAUCCGGGGCGCCAGUUCCGGGGGAGCCAACCUUGAAAUACCACCCUUAUUGUUGCUGACGUCUAACCGCAGCCCGUUAUCCGGGUUCGGGACAUGGCGUGGCGGGCAGUUUGACUGGGGCGGUCGCCUCCCAAAGUGUAACGGAGGCGCGCGAUGGUGGGCUCAGAGCGGUCGGAAAUCGCUCGUCGAGUGCAAUGGCAUAAGCCCGCCUGACUGCGAGACUGACAAGUCGAGCAGAGACGAAAGUCGGCCAUAGUGAUCCGGUGGUUCUGCGUGGAAGGGCCAUCGCUCAACGGAUAAAAGGUACUCUAGGGAUAACAGGCUGAUUUUGCCCAAGCGUCCACAGCGACGGCAAAGUUUGGCACCUCGAUGUCGGCUCAUCACAUCCUGGGG
Molecule: ribosomal RNA, 2441 nt
Filed under: metagenome
Description: bacterial LSU rRNA
Rfam family: Bacterial large subunit ribosomal RNA
Source: RNAcentral